RNAcentral lists this ribosomal RNA (253 nucleotides) under uncultured bacterium. RNAcentral's name for it is "partial 16S ribosomal RNA". It matches the Rfam family "Bacterial small subunit ribosomal RNA", at positions 524 to 776 of the family's 1533-position model. The record is from RNAcentral.
UACGGAGGGGACUAGCGUUGUUCGGAAUUACUGGGCGUAAAGCGCACGUAGGCGGAUUUGUAAGUCAGGGGUGAAAUCCCGAGGCUCAACCUCGGAACUGCCUUUGAUACUGCAAAUCUCGAGUCCGGAAGAGGUGAGUGGAAUUCCUAGUGUAGAGGUGAAAUUCGUAGAUAUUAGGAAGAACACCAGUGGCGAAGGCGGCUCACUGGACCGGUAUUGACGCUGAGGCGCGAAAGCUAGGGGAGCAAACGGG